Molecule: long non-coding RNA, 1394 nt
Organism: Alosa alosa (allis shad)
Lineage: Eukaryota; Metazoa; Chordata; Actinopteri; Clupeiformes; Clupeidae
Exons: 3
Source: RefSeq, a predicted model, not a curated record
GGGUUAUUGUGUUGCUGCUGCUACUUAGACGGACCUCAUAGUCCCUGUUCAUGAGACCUAAAAUGACAAAUCUUGUCACUGAACGACUGGAUGAAGAAUGUGCCUUGUACUCCUCUGCAUGUGUGACCUGAUGUAAGCUGUGCUUGCAUACCUGAAGAUGUCAUGUAGCCAAAAUCACUGUUGAUCUGUGCAUGCUAUGACCAACUUUUGAUUCUUUGAUAUGGAAAGGAAGUUCAUUAUUUUGGGGUGCUAUUUCAGAAAUUUGCUGCAAUUACAAGACCGGAUUGCUUGGGAACGGCUUAUUAUACAGAGGACUACUUUAUAUCUUUUUAUGCGGUUAGGUCUGCUGUUUAUUUUGUUGAUUCUGUUGAUUUACCAUGUGUUGAGUGAAGAUAUGAUUUUACUGCUGAUUUGAAUUUAUUCAAAUCAGCAGAAUUUAUUCAGGCUUUGUGAUGUAAUUUAAAAUGCUAUUUUAUUUUUGAGUAUAGGGGGUCCGUUUUAAGUAAAUGUGCAAUUAUCAAAGGGAAAUGUGCAAUAUCAAUAUAGGGAAAUGUGCAAUAUCAAUAUCUGGGGAGAAAGAGGGACUGUGCAAUAUAAUUGAGAAUUGUGAAAUUAUAUUCACUGGUGUAUGAGUGCAACACAACUAGGAAAUGUGCAAUACAAUACUAUUGCCGUUAGAGGCUAUGAGCAAUAUGAAUGGUUUAGGUGUGUUUCUCUGGGGGCCCCGUCAGUGCUGGGCCUUUAGAAUCAUCCUAACCCCACCCCAUCCCCCAGCGGUGGCCCUGGGGUGCAGAGCUGUGUGCAGAAUUUAAAUAGGAAUACAUUUCAUGUAUAUUCAAAGUUAAUUUUCUCACGAAUAUCUCCUGUUUAUCAUAGCAACUAGCCACUUCAUAUCAUUAUAAAGCUUAGUUUGCGCAGUUUCACAUGGUAUAAGUGUGAUAUCUGUAUGACAAGUACUUAAUGAGCAAUUAUACAGAGAAGAAUUGGUGUGAAUUUGGAUGCAGUUGGUUUAACUGACACCAUAGGAUUCCAUGCAAUAUGCAAUACAUUAUGCAAAAUAUGACAUUAAUAUUGCAGCAAAAAAAAUUGUGUUGCACAAUGCUUGUACAAGAUAUUUCCAGAAAUGUGCAUUGACUUUACCUAUAUAAACCCCUGUUCUGGUGCCACUGGCUUUCUCCAUGGGAAUCCCAGCAUUCUCCAGGGCUCUGAAGGAACACUGCAGCAGCAACUUGUGCUGAGGAUCCAUCUGGUCAGCCUCAGCAUCCGUGAUGCCAAAGAACUUGUUGUCAAAUUCAUUAAACCUGGGUUUGUUCUCAUCUGGAUCAUACCACUGAGAACAAUCAAAUCUCUCAUCUGGAAUCUCUACUGCACAAUUCCUCCCUUCCACUAGAACC